ACCGGAUCGAGACGUCGUCUCGCACAACCCCCUCCUCUCCCCGACCUCUGUGCUCUUUCUCCCAAUCUAGGCGGCUGGGCGUAUCCUUCCCGACAGCGCCGCCGACCACGACAUCGACCUCCACCAGCGGCCCCCCUCGCUCUUUCUCGAUCUCUAGCGCCAGCGCGCAUAGCGAAACGGCGUCACACUCUCUGUUGAUUUGCCUACCACGACGAUGUGCUCGGAGCCGUCCUUUUAAGGUGGAACGCAACCGCCGCUGUUAUCAACUCCCGAUCCCGAUCGAAGCUCGCCCAAUCCCGACCGAGGUCCACCCGCCCAAUCCAGCGACCGGAGGAGAGGAGCAGCCGGUGCGGUCGAGGCCUCGAGGGGAUUUAGCGGACGCCAGCCGCGCGUGGGAUCCAGCAUCGAGGGAGCCGACGCGACGCGCGCGAGGGAACCGGCGGUCCAGGGGAACCAGCCAAGGCGAGGCGCCCCGGCCGGUCGAUGCGCUGCGGUUCGUCGCCUGGCUACAGGGCAUGCUCCGCCACGCCGCCUUCUGGGAGAGAGAGGCUGCUGCCGGGCGCCGGCGCUGGCGUGCAGGACGGAGUCGCCGCUCCAAGUGCCAGUUGUUGUUCGCGCCGCCGGGAGCGCGUUCGCAGCGGGCCGUGCCAGCCGUCUCUCGCCGAUGUUGUGCCUGAGGGCUUUGCUGGUUGGGUCGCUGGUGGAGGACGAGGCCAAGCUUGCUCCGCUCUUUCAGAUCCAGGAGUGUAACAGAGUGCUGCGGCGAGAUCUCAGCUUUCAGGCGCAAACACCCCAACCCGUGAUAUGUUUUUACGACGGAUCUAAACUCCUCCGGCACGCUGCUGCCAGGUCCAGGAAGAUGCAAUAUUUAUUGAGUCUGAUUUUUUGGUGGAAACAAACUGGAGGAAGUGAUGUACAACUCAGAAAAAGGUAAGUGAUGUGAAAUUUCUAGGUGCAUUGCUAUUUACACUACCAUGCAAUGACAUUCAAAUACGUAUUAAGCAUGUCCUUAAUAAAGUUUAACAUGCCAUUUUCUAUUAGAGUACUCCGAUCCAAGCUGGAUAUGUAGCUAGCCUCUCCUAAUCUUCCUGUAAAAGACACUCUCCUAAUCUUCCCAUGCUUUCAGUUUCUUCGGUAUCGGAGUUCUCAUCUAUUUUUUGAGAUUUCAGCGAUCAAUGCCGAGCAUAUGUAUUUUUUGUCUACCCCUGGGUUCUCUAAUCCCCCCCGCCCCCCGCCCCCCGCCCCAUUAUUUCUUUUUUACAUUGCAUCUGAUUAAUACCCAUGAGAUCCCCUUUUCAUUUCAAAAAUUUGUGGCCUCCUUCCUGUUAUGUCACUAUUAAGUCUUCGGUUCAACGUGACACAUGCAGGGCCACCUUAAGUGCUCAACUGCCACGUCUAGCGGGAUAUGGAGAGGGACACGAAGAUUAUAUGUGUACCGAUGGUUGCGGGUUGAUGAAGACGGACCUGCUGGUGCAGUGAUCACUUCUGACAUUGCCGGUUCCAGCACUCCUGGACUCCUCCUUUACCAACGACCCACAUGCAAAAUAAUGUAAGCUGACAGGCUCCAACUUGAUAAUCUAGAUGACAUGGUCACUAUACUGAGAAUUGUCUUCCUUCAAAAGUAGAAAAAAAUGUUGCUCAAUCUGCUUUUUACAGAACAAUGAGUAGCUGGCACUUGCUUCUAUUAAAUAGACAGUCAAUUUGUAGUAUGCAUCAGUACCACAAAAAGCCUUUUAGGUUGCCUGCCAGUUUAAAUGAUCUCUAUAAUGGUAAAUAGACAGUCAAUUUGUAGUAUGCAUCAGUACCACAAAAAGCCUUUUAGGUUGCCUGUCAGUUUAAAUUAUUUCUAUAAUGGUGAUUGGAUAUUGUGGGCUUUGCCUGUCAUUUUAGCAUGCUACAGAUUUCUGCCUAAGGUGAUUAUCAGCUUGAAUUUGAGCAGAAGGCUAAAGCUGUUCUUGGAACUUACAACGGUGUUGUCUUUCCAAAUGAGAAAAGAUGACAAAGCUUUGUUUUUUUACAAUGUUACCUUUUACUAUGCCUGGUCAGAAACAAGCGAAUCCUCUCGAGUUUGUCGAGUUGUUUGCAGUGAUCAUCUGCCAUUUUCUAUUUGUAUAAUGUUUGAAGUUUGUAUGAAUGGAUUCAAUGAAAUUAUAGGUGUCAUACUACUUUGGUCGAGAUUAUGCUUCCAGAUAUUGAAGGAAAUAUGCCCUAGAGGCAAUAAUAAAGUUAUUAUUUAUUUUUUUAUA
Molecule: RNA transcript, 2246 nt
Organism: Triticum dicoccoides
Lineage: Eukaryota; Viridiplantae; Streptophyta; Magnoliopsida; Poales; Poaceae
Exons: 3
Source: RefSeq, a predicted model, not a curated record